This 127-nucleotide transfer RNA is filed under the name Hypoxylon sp. EC38. RNAcentral describes it as "tRNA-Tyr". It matches the Rfam family "tRNA". From Rfam's summary of the family: Transfer RNA (tRNA) molecules are approximately 80 nucleotides in length. Their secondary structure includes four short double-helical elements and three loops (D, anti-codon, and T loops). Lineage: Eukaryota; Fungi; Ascomycota; Sordariomycetes; Xylariales; Hypoxylaceae. The record is from RNAcentral.
CCCUUGGUAGUCUAGUUGGUUAUGGCGUUCGGCUGUAAGAGUUCACAAUGUCUUCUGAGAUGAAUUUCAGAUGACGGGCUUGAUUAUAGUCACCGAAAAGUCACCGGUUCGAUUCCGGUCCGAGGGA